GAGGAAAAGAAACUAACAAGGAUUCCCUUAGUAACGGCGAGUGAACCGGGAAGAGCUCAAAUUUGAAAUCUGGCUGUCUUCGAUAGUCCGAGUUGUAAUCUAUAGAAGCGUUUUCCGUGCUGAACUGUGUCUAAGUCCCUUGGAACAGGGUAUCAAAGAGGGUGACAAUCCCGUACUUGACACAAUCAUCAGUGCUCUGUGAUACGUUCUCUACGAGUCGAGUUGUUUGGGAAUGCAGCUCAAAAUGGGUGGUAAAUUCCAUCUAAAGCUAAAUAUUGGCGAGAGACCGAUAGCGAACAAGUACCGUGAGGGAAAGAUGAAAAGCACUUUGGAAAGAGAGUUAAACAGUACGUGAAAUUGUUAAAAGGGAAACGAUUGAAGUCAGUCGUGUUUAUUGGAUUCAGCCGGUCUUCGGUGUACUUCCUUUAAACGGGUCAACAUCAGUUUUGUCCGGUGGAUAAAGGCAGUAGGAAUGUGGCUCCCUCGGGAGUGUUAUAGCCUAUUGUCACAUACACUGGAGGAGACUGAGGACUGCAGCUCGCCUUUUGGCCGGGGUUCGCCCACGUUCGAGCUUAGGAUGUUGACAUAAUGGCUUUAAACGACCCGUCUUGAAAACCCGACCAAA
Molecule: ribosomal RNA, 625 nt
Filed under: Apiotrichum laibachii
Lineage: Eukaryota; Fungi; Basidiomycota; Tremellomycetes; Trichosporonales; Trichosporonaceae
Description: eukaryotic LSU rRNA
Rfam family: Eukaryotic large subunit ribosomal RNA
Source: RNAcentral